GGGUUGUGAGGUUAAGCGACUAAGCGUACACGGUGGAUGCCCUGGCAGUCAGAGGCGAUGAAGGACGUGCUAAUCUGCGAAAAGCGUCGGUAAGGUGAUAUGAACCGUUAUAACCGGCGAUGUCCGAAUGGGGAAACCCAGUGUGAUUCGUCACACUAUCGUUAACUGAAUACAUAGGUUAACGAGGCGAACCGGGGGAACUGAAAC
RNAcentral lists this ribosomal RNA (207 nucleotides) under Klebsiella pneumoniae. RNAcentral describes it as "partial 23S ribosomal RNA". It matches the Rfam family "Bacterial large subunit ribosomal RNA", at positions 1 to 199 of the family's 2925-position model. Lineage: Bacteria; Pseudomonadati; Pseudomonadota; Gammaproteobacteria; Enterobacterales; Enterobacteriaceae. The record is from RNAcentral.